GGACGCAGGUUAAGAUCUCUCCUGCUCUCAAUUUGAUGAUUUUCUGUGGUCUAGUCCAUCUCGAAACAGGGCUGGAAGACAUCAGAUCUUGCCUUGGUCCUGAGAUGAUCUUCAGGCUCCUCUGUGUGACCUUGAGUCUCCUGUGUGCAAAACACAUGGAGGCUGCAGUCACCCAAAGCCCAAGAAGCAAGGUGACAGUAAUAGGAGAAAAAGUGGAACUAAGCUGUAACCAGACUGAUGGCCAUGACUAUAUGUACUGGUAUCGGCAGGACCUGGGUCAUGGACUGAGGCUGAUCUAUUACUCAUAUGUUGCUGGCAGCACUGAGAAAGGAGAUGUCCCUGAUGGGUACAAGGUCACGAGACUAAGGACAGAGGACUUCUCUCUCAUUCUGGAGAAGGCUUCUCUGUCUCAGACAGCUGUGUACUUCUGUGCCAGCAGUGAUACACAGCAGUGUGUGGCUGCCUCCCCUCUGCACAGAAAGACGGUAUUAGCUGAGGAACCGGAAACAGUGCUGUCUCAGGAGGUACAAGGCAGGGUCCAGGGGAUCAGUCAUCUUUGUACACCCACUGGGCAUCACCACAGGGAGUCAUGGACUGUAGCCUGGGCAAUCCAGAACCUCCUGAAACUAGAAGAGAAGGAAGCAACUGCCUCAGAGGGAAACAUGUAA
Non-coding RNA from Arvicola amphibius (Eurasian water vole), 668 nucleotides. The record is from the annotation of a RefSeq genome assembly. NCBI's taxonomy places the organism in Eukaryota, Metazoa, Chordata, Mammalia, Rodentia, Cricetidae.